UGCAUUCACUACUGUAAGUCGCUCUGGAUAAGAGCGUCUGCUAAAUGACGGAAA
Molecule: non-coding RNA, 54 nt
Organism: Salmo salar (Atlantic salmon)
Lineage: Eukaryota; Metazoa; Chordata; Actinopteri; Salmoniformes; Salmonidae
Source: Rfam